GAUGAACGCUAGCGGCAGGCCUAAUACAUGCAAGCCGAACGGCAAGUUGAGUAGCAAUACUUGACCUAGAGUGGCGUAAGGGUGCGUAACACGUAUGCAAUCUACCCGCAACAGGAGGAUAGCUCUCCGAAAGGGGAAUUAAGCCUCCAUGGGAUCAUGGGGUGGCAUCACUCCAUGAUUAAACUACCAGGGGUUGUGGAUGAGCAUGCGCAUGAUUAGUUAGUUGGCGGGGUAACGGCCCACCAAGACGAUGAUCAUUAGGGGAACUGAGAGGUUGAUCCCCACACUGGCACU
This 294-nucleotide ribosomal RNA is filed under the name uncultured bacterium. Its description in RNAcentral is "partial 16S ribosomal RNA". It matches the Rfam family "Bacterial small subunit ribosomal RNA", at positions 28 to 320 of the family's 1533-position model. The record is from RNAcentral.